RNAcentral lists this ribosomal RNA (591 nucleotides) under Botrytis cinerea. RNAcentral's name for it is "eukaryotic LSU rRNA". It matches the Rfam family "Eukaryotic large subunit ribosomal RNA", at positions 63 to 668 of the family's 3401-position model. Lineage: Eukaryota; Fungi; Ascomycota; Leotiomycetes; Helotiales; Sclerotiniaceae. The record is from RNAcentral.
AACCAACAGGGAUUACCUCAGUAACGGCGAGUGAAGCGGUAAAAGCUCAAAUUUGAAAUCUGGCUCUUUUAGAGUCCGAAUUGUAAUUUGUAGAAGAUGCUUCGGGUGUGGUUCCGGUCUAAGUUCCUUGGAACAGGACGUCAUAGAGGGUGAGAAUCCCGUAUGUGACUGGAUACCUAUGCUCAUGUGAAGCUCUUUCGACGAGUCGAGUUGUUUGGGAAUGCAGCUCAAAAUGGGAGGUAUAUUUCUUCUAAAGCUAAAUAUUGGCCAGAGACCGAUAGCGCACAAGUAGAGUGAUCGAAAGAUGAAAAGCACUUUGGAAAGAGAGUUAAACAGUACGUGAAAUUGUUGAAAGGGAAGCGCUUGCAAUCAGACUUGCACUUGGUGUUCAUCAGGGUCUCGUACCCUGUGUACUUCAUCAAGUUCAGGCCAGCAUCAGUUUGAGUGGUUAGAUAAAGGCUUAGAGAAUGUGGCCCUCUUCGGGGGGUGUUAUAGCUCUAGGUGCAAUGUAGCCUACUUGGACUGAGGACCGCGCUUCGGCUAGGAUGCUGGCGUAAUGGUUGUAAGCGACCCGUCUUGAAACACCNGCCA